GACGAACGCUGGCGGCAUGCCCUACACAUGCAAGUCGAACGGUAACGGGCCUUCGGGUGCCGACGAGUGGCGAACGGGUGAGUAAUGCAUCGGAACGUACCUUUCAGUGGGGGGAUAACGUAGCGAAAGUUACGCUAAUACCGCAUAUUCUGUGAGCAGGAAAGCAGGGGAUCGCAAGACCUUGCGCUGAUUGAGCGGCCGAUGUCAGAUUAGCUAGUUGGUGAGGUAAAGGCUCACCAAGGCGACGAUCUGUAGCGGGUCUGAGAGGAUGAUCCGCCACACUGGAACUGAGACACGGUCCAGACUCCUACGGGAGGCAGCAGUGGGGAAUUUUGGACAAUGGGGGCAACCCUGAUCCAGCCAUGCCGCGUGAGUGAAGAAGGCCUCGGUUGUAA
This 395-nucleotide ribosomal RNA is filed under the name uncultured bacterium. RNAcentral describes it as "bacterial SSU rRNA". It matches the Rfam family "Bacterial small subunit ribosomal RNA", at positions 28 to 428 of the family's 1533-position model. The record is from RNAcentral.